This is a small nucleolar RNA of Blastocystis hominis, 211 nucleotides long. It matches the Rfam family "Small nucleolar RNA U3". Rfam says of the family: Small nucleolar RNAs (snoRNAs) are involved in the processing and modification of rRNA in the nucleolus. There are two main classes of snoRNAs: the box C/D class, and the box H/ACA class. U3 snoRNA is a member of the box C/D class. Lineage: Eukaryota; Bigyra; Opalinata; Blastocystidae. The record is from Rfam.
AAGACUGUACUCGAACAGGAUCAUUUCUAUAGUACAUUCUUUCUCUUUAUUUAUCUAAAAAGAGACCAACUAACAACUUUGAUGAUUUGGAAUAGCUUCUGAGCCGGAAUUGGGAGGAGAGUAGCAUGAUGACUUCGGUUGUCGUUGCUACAGCGAAGAACGUCGGCUGUACUGUUCAAACAGCUUGAGGUUCAGAAGCGUUAUGAAAAGU